RNAcentral lists this ribosomal RNA (277 nucleotides) under uncultured prokaryote. RNAcentral describes it as "partial 16S ribosomal RNA". It matches the Rfam family "Bacterial small subunit ribosomal RNA", at positions 524 to 800 of the family's 1533-position model. The record is from RNAcentral.
UACGGAGGAUCCGAGCGUUAUCCGGAUUUAUUGGGUUUAAAGGGUGCGCAGGCGGGAGAUUAAGUCGGCGGUGAAAUUUUGCAGCUCAACUGUAAAAGUGCCUUCGAAACUGGUUUCCUUGAGUGUGGAUGAAGUAGGCGGAAUUUGUGGUGUAGCGGUGAAAUGCUUAGAUAUCACGAGGAACUCCGAUUGCGCAGGCAGCUUACUAAACUACUACUGACGCUCAGGCACGAAGGCGUGGGGAUCAAACAGGAUUAGAUACCCGGGUAGUCCCUGA